GUCUAUUUGUACGUAUAUUAAUGGUGUGCAUGUGCAGAUUUUUGAUUUUAUUAAUAUUUACUAUUUUGGGAGACAGUUGAAAUUUUUCGGGGUAUUUACUUGCAUAAGAGGGGCGUGCUCCCAUGCUCAACUUUGUGUAUUUUGCAUCUGACUUUUUUUGUCAUAUUUUGAGCGUACAAUAGUGCCCCAUAAUUAGUGAUUUGCUAUGGUUAUUUUUAUGAUAAUAUAAAAUAAAAUUCAGUUGUGUUUCAUGAAGUCAUCGACAAAAAUCUUUUAAUACAUAUUAACC
This 289-nucleotide long non-coding RNA is filed under the name Mytilus galloprovincialis (Mediterranean mussel). The record is from RNAcentral. Lineage: Eukaryota; Metazoa; Mollusca; Bivalvia; Mytilida; Mytilidae.